UACGUAGGUGGCGAGCGUUGUCCGGAUUUACUGGGCGUAAAGAGCGCGCAGGCGGUCGUUCAAGUCGCGUGUGAAAGCCCCCGGCUCAACUGGGGAGGGUCACGCGAUACUGAUCGACUCGAAGGCAGGAGAGGGAAGUGGAAUUCCCGGUGUAGUGGUGAAAUGCGUAGAUAUCGGGAGGAACACCGAUGGCGAAGGCAGCUCGCUGGGACGGUACUGACGCUGAGGCGCGAAAGCGUGGGGAGCGAACAGG
RNAcentral lists this ribosomal RNA (253 nucleotides) under uncultured bacterium. RNAcentral describes it as "partial 16S ribosomal RNA". It matches the Rfam family "Bacterial small subunit ribosomal RNA", at positions 524 to 776 of the family's 1533-position model. The record is from RNAcentral.